GAUGAACGCUAGCGGCAGGCUUAACACAUGCAAGUCGAGGGGCAUCACGGGUAGCAAUACCUGGUGGCGACCGGCGCAAGGGUGCGUAACGCGUGAGCAACAUGCCCUAUACAGGGGGAUAAUCCAGGGAAACUUGGUCUAAUAUCCCAUAGCAUUUAGAGGUGGCAUCACCAUUAAAUUAAAGCUUCGGUGGUAUAGGAUUGGCUCGCGUGACAUUAGCUAGAUGGUGGGGUAACGGCUCACCAUGGCUAUGAUGUCUAGGGGUUCUGAGAGGAAGACCCCCCACACUGGGACUGAGACACGGCCCAGACUCCUACGGGAGGCAGCAGUGAGGAAUAUUGGACAAUGGGAUGGAAAUCUGAUCCAGCCAUGCCGCGUGCAGGAAGACGGCCCUAUGGGUUGUAAACUGCUUUUUAUAUGGGAGCAAUAAGGUCUACGAGUAGACCGAUGAGAGUACCAUAUGAAUAAGCAUCGG
RNAcentral lists this ribosomal RNA (475 nucleotides) under uncultured bacterium. RNAcentral's name for it is "bacterial SSU rRNA". It matches the Rfam family "Bacterial small subunit ribosomal RNA", at positions 28 to 496 of the family's 1533-position model. The record is from RNAcentral.